Molecule: long non-coding RNA, 2872 nt
Organism: Portunus trituberculatus (swimming crab)
Lineage: Eukaryota; Metazoa; Arthropoda; Malacostraca; Decapoda; Portunidae
Exons: 5
Source: RefSeq, a predicted model, not a curated record
ACCACCUCAUUCCCCCGGAUCUGGUUCUGGUUGGUGUCGGAAAUAAUGCCUUAAAGGCAUUACUUCCAACACCAACCAAAAGGCAUUGCCUUUUGGAACGGCACUUCCUGAUGUGUUUUCCUGUCGGUCUGGGUUUUUGAUAUUGCUGUUUAUUUACUGUUAUAUUCACUGUCUGUUUUUUAGUUUUACAUAUUUCUUUUCUGUUUUUGUCUUUUUGUCCAAAAUUCUAACAAUAUGUCUUUGGUAUUUUCAAUUUCACUGUUUUCAUAUAGCAACUCUCCUAGUAUGGCAUCUGUGUCUUCUUGGUAUGGUCGUUGUAGGACUGGGUGUCUCUGUCUUUCUAAGUUGUAGGCUGGACAGUAAAGAAUAAAAUGUUUUAGGUCUUCCACUGGGUCACCACACAUAAUACAUUCUGUUGCCGCAUUUAUAAACCUUUGCCUAUCUCCAAGAUCCAUAUUGUUGGUCCUACAUCGAAAGAGUAUGAUGGUAGCCUCCCUGUUGUCAUAAAUCUUAUCCUGCCCUCCUAGCUAUACUUUGCCUCAUCUCCCUGUACAUCUUCAGGCUUACUUUCCCUUCCAUCUCCUGUUUCCACAUCUUUGUGUCUCAUUCCUUCACCUUCCUACUAAUAUCCAAGUAACUCUCAGCCUCCCCUCUUAAUCCGAUUAGCUGUAUGUAUUCUAGGAAUCCUGAUAUCCAUUUAUUUUUCUUGUUUGAGUUUCUCAUUUCCUCCACCACUCUGCUCAGUAAUUCAUUUCCUUGAUCUUUCAAUACAUAUUGCAGGUACUUUAACUGUCCUUCCAUUAACCGUGCCUUCAUACUUGAUAUUCUUAAUUCUCCUCUCAAUGCUGCCUGUUGUGCAUAACUUGGUGCUCCCAGUAUUUUCCUUGCCACGCUGUUCUCUAUUCUUUGGAGCUUUUCCACUUCCUGCUUCUUAAAAUCCAUUACGUUAGCUCCAUACAGGACUGCUGGGAGGACAAUACUUUUCCAGUAUAUUUUCCCUGGGAAGGCACCCACUGGAAGGUGAUAUCUCACCCAGUGUUCAGGAGAUGGAGGAAGGCGCUCAGGAUGGAGUGGACGAGGGUUGUGGCGGAGGAUGGCUGCCGGGAUAGGAGGAGAGAGAGAUAUGAGCGGGAAUCGGUGUAAAUUACCACCAUAGACGUCGGGUGAGAGGUGCGGAGGUAGAUGAGGGCCUGGAGAAGGACAAAGAGCUCCGUGGUAAGGACAUCUGUGUACUCAGGAAGCCUCCAUGUCUUACAGAUAGCAGUACUGGCAUCAUUAUAUAGCUGCUGCCGAGGAGGGCAGGGAGGCAUCUCUGGAGCCGUCCGUGUAGAUCUUGAGGUGGUGGUGAUAAAUGGACCGGUCCAGCUGUUGGAAGUGGGCUGCUGCUAAUCCACUCAUAGAUGGUUUGGGAGGAAGCCCAGGAACGUGGAGAGCAAAAUUAUGGGAGACGUCCAGCCAUGAAGGAAAAGGAGGUGCGGAGGUAACUGAUGUGAUUUACCCAGGAGAGGCGAGGGCCAUCCAGCCGCAGUCCGAGGAGGGUGUGUGAGGUUGAGUAUGGAACAGCCUCCCCACUUAAGGUGACGGGUCAGCCAGUGGGGUAGAAUCGUCAUCAGAAAAUGGGAUGUUCUGAGAUACCGACUUGCCCUCCAUGGAGCGGAGAAAGGACAUGGUACGCUUGGGAGAGGAGCGGAAGGAAAGAGUGGAGCAGUGCAGGUCCCAUGCAUUCCGCUUUGCCUUGAGGAUGGUCUUGGCACAGAUGGCGUCCAGGCGGCGGUAGGCACGGCCAGCCUGGAUAGUGGGGGUCCUACGCCACUGAUUCCAAGCCUGGCGACGGUCCUGUACUGCCUGCGCACAGGCUGCAUCCCACCAGGGCUUCCCAGGGCGGCGUGGACGACGACAAGUGAUGAGUGGGAAGGCAGCUGUGCCAGCCUCGCUCAGCACCCCAGCAAUGGUUGUUGCGGCUUCAUCCAGGGGAAGAUGUUGGGUGUUCAGUGAGGAGGGAAGCGCAGCCACAUACUGGGGCCAGCCAGAAGAAUUGAGCCUCCAGCGGGGCAUGCAGCCAGGUUGGGGCCGUGGAGAGACUUGUGGGAGGGAGGCGAGGAGAGGGAAGUGGUCGCUGCCCAUGUAAGGUCCAGUGCGGAAGGUGGAAUCCUUGAAAGUAGGGUCUCCAAGGAACAGGUCGAGCACCGAGGCGAUGAGACGAGGAAGUCAUGGAUGGCGAGAAGGACUCCUCCUCCACGUCCUUGACCACGAUCUUUGCGGAUGAUGCUUGAGUCUAAGCUACUUCCCAGUGGCGAAGCGUGGCAGGCUAUGGGGUGGAAGCCUCCUCCUGUGUCAUCCGAUGCUCCUGCCGGCACCCUCCUCAACGACACGCAGGUGGAGGGCCCGGCCCACGCCCCGUGAUGGAAGAAUGUGAAUGACGGAUAGGCUUUCAGUUGUGGCGGCGCCUUGAUCUCUCCCUAUCACGUAGUGACAGUGGCGCAUUGUCUCCUGGAGCCUGGAGUAACGGGAAACGGCACUGCCAAUUUUCUUAAGCCGUCUGUGGUGCAUCUGGGGCGAGGUGGACUUCACACGAGCAGAUGAGAGCCAAGCCUUUGACUACGAGGUGGCAGGGGUUCAGUGAUGUCUGUGGAGUCUCUCUCUCUCUCUCUCUCUCUCUCUCUCUCUCUCUCUCUCUCUCUCUCGAGGACAAAACAAAAACAAUCUUAACGAGAGAGAGAGAGAGAGAGAGAGAGAGAGAGAGAGAGUAUAGGGUAUGAUACAAUUCAACAUCCGUAUCUCUUUCUCUCCCUCCACACACACACACACACACACACACACACACACACACACCGGCAGAUAAGCUGAGGGGAGUGUACCUCACCUUUAUACU